GAACGCUCGGCGGAAUGCUUUACACAUGCAAGUCGAACGGCAGCACGGACUUCGGUCUGGUGGCGAGUGGCGAACGGGUGAGUAAUAUAUCGGAACGUAUCCAAUAAUGGGGGAUAACUAAUCGAAAGGUUGGCUAAUACCGCAUACGCCCUACGGGGGAAAGCUAGGGAUCUUCGGACCUGGCGUUAAUGGAGCGGCCGAUAUCUGAUUAGCUAGUUGGUGGGGUAAAGGCCCACCAAGGCGACGAUCAGUAGCUGGUCUGAGAGGACGACCAGCCACACUGGAACUGAGACACGGUCCAGACUCCUACGGGAGGCAGCAGUGGGGAAUUUUGGACAAUGGGCGCAAGCCUGAUCCAGCCAUUCCGCGUGAGUGAAGAAGGCCUUCGGGUUGUAAAGCUCUUUCGCAAGGGAAGAAAACUUAUCCUCUAACAUAGGAUGAGGUUGACGGUACCUUGAUAAGAAGCACCGGCUAACUACGUGCCAGCAGCCGCGGUAAUACGUAGGGUGCGAGCGUUAAUCGGAAUUACUGGGCGUAAAGCGUGCGCAGGCUGUUUUGUAAGUCAGAUGUGAAAUCCCUGAGCUCAACUUAGGAACUGCGUUUGAAACUACAAGACUAGAAUAUGUCAGAGGGGGGUAGAAUUCCACGUGUAGCAGUGAAAUGCGUAGAGAUGUGGAGGAAUACCAAUGGCGAAGGCAGCCCCCUGGGAUAAUAUUGACGCUCAUGCACGAAAGCGUGGGGAGCAAACAGGAUUAGAUACCCUGGUAGUCCACG
Molecule: ribosomal RNA, 774 nt
Filed under: uncultured beta proteobacterium
Lineage: Bacteria; Pseudomonadati; Pseudomonadota; Betaproteobacteria
Description: bacterial SSU rRNA
Rfam family: Bacterial small subunit ribosomal RNA
Source: RNAcentral